GUUCGAGUAGUGUAGUGGUUUAUCACGCCAGUCUCACAUUGAAAAACUUAACUUCUAUUCUGCUUUUCCUUCUAGGAUAGGUAGAUUAUUUGGGUUAGAUAUGUAAAACACACUGGAUGUCCUGGGUUCGAACCCCAGCUCGAACA
Molecule: transfer RNA, 146 nt
Filed under: Biscogniauxia mediterranea
Lineage: Eukaryota; Fungi; Ascomycota; Sordariomycetes; Xylariales; Xylariaceae
Description: tRNA-Val
Rfam family: tRNA
About the family: Transfer RNA (tRNA) molecules are approximately 80 nucleotides in length. Their secondary structure includes four short double-helical elements and three loops (D, anti-codon, and T loops). Further hydrogen bonds mediate the characteristic L-shaped molecular structure. tRNAs have two regions of fundamental functional importance: the anti-codon, which is responsible for specific mRNA codon recognition, and the 3' end, to which the tRNAs corresponding amino acid is attached (by aminoacyl-tRNA synthetases). tRNAs cope with the degeneracy of the genetic code in two manners: having more than one tRNA (with a specific anti-codon) for a particular amino acid; and 'wobble' base-pairing, i.e. permitting non-standard base-pairing at the 3rd anti-codon position.
Source: RNAcentral